This 467-nucleotide ribosomal RNA is filed under the name uncultured bacterium. RNAcentral describes it as "partial 16S ribosomal RNA". It matches the Rfam family "Bacterial small subunit ribosomal RNA", at positions 28 to 507 of the family's 1533-position model. The record is from RNAcentral.
GACGAACGCUGGCGGCGUGCUUAACACAUGCAAGUCGAACGGAAAGGCCCUGCUUUUGUGGGGUGCUCGAGUGGCGAACGGGUGAGUAACACGUGAGUAACCUGCCCUUGACUUUGGGGUAACUUCAGGAAACUGGGGCUAAUACCGGAUAGGAGCUCCUGCUGCAUGGUGGGGGUUGGAAAGUUUCGGCGGUUGGGGAUGGACUCGCGGCUUAUCAGCUUGUUGGUGGGGUAGUGGCUUACCAAGGCUUUGACGGGUAGCCGGCCUGAGAGGGUGACCGGCCACAUGGGGACGGAGAUACGGCCCAGACUCUUACGGGAGGAAGCAGGGGGGAAUAUGGCACAAGGGGCGGAAGCCUGAUGCAGAAACGCCGCGGGCGGGAUGACGGCCUUCGGUUGUAAACCGCUUUCGCCUGUGACGAAGCGUGAGUGACGGUAAUGGGUAAAGAAGCACCGGCUAACUACGUG